CCCCCACCUCACUCGCACACAUACUCCCCCACGCUGGUUCCCACAAAUAGUUCCAGCAGAAAUGUUGCUUUUUCUCUCCCCCCCCACCCCCCAAGAAAGGAAAGAGAAAGUCCAACCAGCACGGCAAGACUUUUAAGCUGUCCUAAAUGAUCGUAUCCUUUCUGGCUUCGAAACUUUUGUACCUAAAAAUCGAGAGAGGCGCUGCAUGUUUUCAGCUGAAACUGUCAAAACUUGGAGAAAGGGGACUCGGAGGCAGGCAGCAGAGGAGGAGAAUCCUGAAACUCGGUGGAGGUUGGGAAGAUGCUGUGCCUCCAGGAUUAGUUUAAACAGGGGGCUAUAAAAGAUGUAACAGAUGCAAACUGUAACACAAGGGCCAUUAACCCUUUCUCUGCCGAGCACACUCGGUCCCCACGCCCCGCACCUAUUGUCUCCUGUGCGAGCAGCUUUGCGGAAAACCUGGAAAUUUUGGCCAGAAAUGGUGAGAAGAAAAAGCAUGAAGAAGCCGCGAAGUGUGGGGGAGAAAAAGGUGGAAGCGAAGAAACAGCUCCCGGAGUAAACUGCACAAAACCUCGCCAAGAGUGUCGGGAGGCAGGACCGUUAUUCCUGCGGAGCAGGAGAGAGAGGAGAGACCCUGAAACACGCGCCACCUAUCUUUGUGGGGAGGGAUAAUUGAAGCGCCCUGAGCGUGAGCAUCAUGUGAAAACGUGAUCGCCAAGUUUCUCUCUGGGAAAGGAUCUGGGAUAGAUUAUACCUUGAAGUCUCC
Long non-coding RNA from Lepus europaeus (European hare), 763 nucleotides. RefSeq lists it as uncharacterized. The transcript is spliced from 3 exons. Lineage: Eukaryota; Metazoa; Chordata; Mammalia; Lagomorpha; Leporidae. The record is from RefSeq and is a predicted model, not a curated record.